RNAcentral lists this non-coding RNA (89 nucleotides) under unclassified sequences. The record is from RNAcentral.
CUCGUAAUGCGACUUACUAGUAGUAACCAGUGAUAAGUAGCUGGGUGAUAGUAGUAAACGGUCCCAAGUCCGAAAACGCAGAGGGCGAA